GUCUAGGACCAUACCACCCUGAACACGCCCGAUCUCCUCUGAUCUCGAAAGCUAAGCAGGGUCAGGCCUGGUUAGUACUUGGAUGGCAGGAAAUGUAAUCCUUAGGGGGAGAUA
Molecule: ribosomal RNA, 114 nt
Organism: Erinaceus europaeus (western European hedgehog)
Lineage: Eukaryota; Metazoa; Chordata; Mammalia; Eulipotyphla; Erinaceidae
Source: Ensembl